GGGGAUGAUCGGCUUCGACAAGUGAUUCCCCUUGUAUGUGCAAGGCAAGCAGGUUUGUUCAUCUUGUAAAACUGACAAACAAAAAUAGUUGCAAAAAACGCAAUUAAGAGCCCGUUCAUGGCUAUGAAUGGUCUCGCAUUCGCCCGAGCAUAAAUUCUCGGACGCAUCCAAAGGACUAAGGUUCCGUAGGUCCUGUCGGGUGUCAUAUCACGGAACUCGGUGUGGUAUCCGUUCUGAGUAUCACACUUAAACAACAAUCAGGAAUCGGCUGUCUCGGAUUUCGCCAACUUUUUACCGAGAUUGCUUAGACCAAAGUCGGCUACCCUUGUAGACUCAUAGAAGGUCCUCAUUUGCACGGGGGUUCAAUUCCCCCCAUCUCCACAG
RNAcentral lists this transfer-messenger RNA (384 nucleotides) under Candidatus Lloydbacteria bacterium CG22_combo_CG10-13_8_21_14_all_47_15. It matches the Rfam family "transfer-messenger RNA". From Rfam's summary of the family: Bacterial tmRNA, also known as 10Sa RNA or SsrA, is named for its dual tRNA and mRNA-like properties. The record is from RNAcentral. Lineage: Bacteria; Candidatus Lloydiibacteriota.